GCGCUCACUCCAGCAGCACGUAUACUAAAAUUGGAACAAUACAGAGAUUAGCACGGCCCCUGGGCAAAGAUGAUAUGCAAAUUCGUGAAGUGUUCCGUAUUUAA
Small nuclear RNA from Peromyscus maniculatus bairdii (prairie deer mouse), 104 nucleotides. The record is from Ensembl. Lineage: Eukaryota; Metazoa; Chordata; Mammalia; Rodentia; Cricetidae.